GCCUGUGGUCAAGGGGUUAAGACACCGCCUUUUCACGGCGGUAACACGGGUUCGAAUCCCGUACGGACU
Molecule: transfer RNA, 69 nt
Filed under: Streptococcus canis
Lineage: Bacteria; Bacillati; Bacillota; Bacilli; Lactobacillales; Streptococcaceae
Description: tRNA-Glu
Rfam family: tRNA (bases 6-62)
About the family: Transfer RNA (tRNA) molecules are approximately 80 nucleotides in length. Their secondary structure includes four short double-helical elements and three loops (D, anti-codon, and T loops).
Source: RNAcentral